GACUCCUUUAACCAUGAGAUUUGUAUCUCACCAAAUCAUAUUUUUCUUGAAUGUAUGAGUUGUUAUCUCUAACUAACUCCCUCCACAUCCCAAGAUGCUGAUCGUAAUGGAUACUGAUGCCUCCUUUAUAAAUCAUUCUCUAAGGAGCCUCUAGGUAAAUGAGCUUAAAGGAGAUCCAAACAAAGUCUCACUUGUAAGCAUAG
RNAcentral lists this long non-coding RNA (203 nucleotides) under Elaeis guineensis (African oil palm). RNAcentral's name for it is "long non-coding RNA (EGUI_LNC060654)". Lineage: Eukaryota; Viridiplantae; Streptophyta; Magnoliopsida; Arecales; Arecaceae. The record is from RNAcentral.